ACUGAUGAUCCGUUUGAGUUUAUACCGUUGUAGCACUGAAAUAAUUUUUUAAUGUGUUUCAGUCGACUGUGAUGCAAGUCACGAUCAGUGCUGGCCGUCUCCCACAGUUCAACAAUUCGAAUGACUACAGCACGACACCUGUCCCCUUUCUCUAAACUGUGCGUUCCAUUGAAGCAAACUUUGUUUCGUCAUCUUCUACCACAAGCUUUUCAUCUUCUUCAAUAUCAAAACUCGAUCUGUUCCUCCUACAUGUCAUCCUCAUUAACGAGCUUCUCCGUUGAAGUCUCCCUGGCUCCUCCAUCUCGAGUUCUGCUUCUCACGCCGUCUAGGACCUGUCUCGAUGAUGCUGCCUCUCUGACUCCACCACUGCGUCAUUUCCUUUGCGAGCAAUUCCAUAUCUCCUCUUUAUCCAAAGCGACUCCAUAUUUCUUUUCCUUCUCUUUCUGUCACCGGCAAUGGUGGUUAAGCUCCUUGGAUCUGCUCUGAGAUUGGAUAUGGUUAUAUUUGAUUAUCAAUCCUGUGUUUGAGGAUCUGUUAGAUUCUGAUUUGAUUUAUCUGAACCUUCACUGAUAUUGACGAGAGUCUAAUGUAAAUUAAGUCUGUUGCUAGCCUAUUUUUAUAUUGGUUAUGAAUUAUAAUGUUUUUGUGUGAUUGAUUUUGUUUGAUCUCAGUGUAGAUCUUUAGAUUGGUUUCUUUGAUUUAGGUUCUGUCAUGCUUACUAUUGAGUGAACAGAGCAGGAAUUCCUAUGCUCCAGAUUGUAUCUCACUUCAUAAGAAAAAUGGGCUUGAUGCCACUGAAUAUGGAUGCAAUGGAUUGUAUGGUAUUUGGAAGUGAGUAAUCUGAAUAUGCAAGAAGGCUCUCCCCACUGAUGUUAAUAUCUCAAUCCAUCCAAUUAGACAAGCUAAGUUUACAAGUGUCUUUCUUUCUUUGUCGUUUCUAUAUAUUCUGAGUUUAUUUGCAUUGCUUAAAAUUAUACGACUUAUUAAUGGCAUGGUGGAAGUGCGGCUGCUCAGAUUUGUCUGGCUUUGAGGUUUUUUGCUGUUGUGGUAGCAAAUAUAAUCUGUUUGGUUCUAACAUGGUUUGCAUGUAACUCGGUUUUCAUAUAAUUGCUCUGAUGAAAUGUGUCAUGAACUUAUUGUCUUGAGCUACCUUUCUAAUUAUUUUUAGAUCACCGAAGUAACUACGGAGCAAUGGAUUCAGGCUCAGCAGCUUGAACAGCUCAUUAGUGACAUCCAAGGAAAACAUUUUCCCAAAGUUCAAGAAGCAUUUGAUGUUCAUUGGGAUGGAAAGAAGGCUAUCUCUUUGUACAAUCAUAUCUCACAUAAGCCAUGUCUCAAUAAAAUAGCUUCUGGGCUGCUGUUACAAGACACCACCACCAGUUGCAAAGGUUCAUCAAACAUGAGAUGGGAAGAACCGAGAUCACACAUGGGUGCAGAGAUCUUCGUUGGCAAAAAAAAGGGAAGCUAAACGUGAAAAUCAGUAUGAGAAAAUUGGAUUAGCUAUAAGUUAACCAGAAUGAAAGGAGACUGGCAGACCUUUGCUGAACCUUUGUGAAGGAUGGUCUGGAGAAGAUAAGAAUGUUCCUUGAGUGACCAGUUUUCUUAGUAAGAAACAAGAUUCUUCUGCUGGAGAAAAGGAAGCCAACGAUCAAUUUUUAAAAAAAUUUGUUUAGUUAACAUUAUUGUGUUGAGAAAAAAAAAUUUACAUUAUUAAUUCAUAUUAUAUGAAUGAUAUAUUUUAAAUUCCA
Molecule: long non-coding RNA, 1748 nt
Organism: Brassica napus (rape)
Lineage: Eukaryota; Viridiplantae; Streptophyta; Magnoliopsida; Brassicales; Brassicaceae
Exons: 6
Source: RefSeq, a predicted model, not a curated record